UGAGGAAUCUUGGACAAUGGGGGAAACCCUGAUCCAGCGACGCCGCGUGAGUGAUGAAGCCUUUCGGGGUGUAAAGCUCUUUCAGCGGGGACAAUCAUGAUGGUACCCGCACAAGCAGCUGCGGCUAACUACGUGCCAGCAGCCGCGGUAAUACGUAGGCAGCAAGCGUUGUUCGGAAUUACUGGGCGUAAAGCGAGUGUAGGCGGUCUGCCAAGUCUGUUGUGAAAUCUCCCGGCUCAACUGGGAGGGUGCGUCGGAAACUGGCAGGCUCGAGUGCGAGAGGGGAGAGUGGAAUUCCUGGUGUAGCGGUGGAAUGCGUAGAUAUCAGGAGGAACACCGGUGGUGAAGACGGCUCUCUGGAUCGCCACUGACGCUGAGACUCGAAAGCGUGGGGAGCAAACAGG
RNAcentral lists this ribosomal RNA (404 nucleotides) under uncultured Gemmatimonadota bacterium. RNAcentral describes it as "bacterial SSU rRNA". It matches the Rfam family "Bacterial small subunit ribosomal RNA", at positions 355 to 776 of the family's 1533-position model. Lineage: Bacteria; Pseudomonadati; Gemmatimonadota. The record is from RNAcentral. RNAcentral also lists the same sequence under 1 other name.